CCUACGGGUGGCUGCAGUGGGGGAUAUUGCACAAUGGGGGGAACCCUGAUGCAGCGACGCCGCGUGUGGGAAGACGGUCCUCUGGCUUGUAAACCACUGUCCUCAGGGACGAAAAUGACGGUACCUGGGGAGGAAGCUCCGGCUAACUACGUGCCAGCAGCCGCGGUAAUACGUAGGGAGCGAGCGUUGUCCGGAAUUACUGGGUGUAAAGGGAGCGUAGGCGGGGAUGCAUGUUGGGUGGCAAAACUACCGGCUCAACUGGUAGUCGCACUCAAAACUGCAGCUCUUGAGUGAAGUCGAGGCAGGAGGAAGUCCUAGUGUAGCGGUGAAAUGCGUAGAUAUUAGGAGGAACACCAGUGGCGAAGGCGGCCUGCUGGGCUUUUACCGACGCUGAGGCUCGAAAGUGUGGGGAGCAAACAGGAUUAGAUACCCUGGUAGUC
RNAcentral lists this ribosomal RNA (440 nucleotides) under uncultured bacterium. RNAcentral's name for it is "partial 16S ribosomal RNA". It matches the Rfam family "Bacterial small subunit ribosomal RNA", at positions 338 to 795 of the family's 1533-position model. The record is from RNAcentral.